UCCAAAGUAGCUCAGUCGGUAGAGUAGCGGCCUGUUAAGCCGUUGGUCCCUGGUUCGAACCCAGGCUUUGGAGCCA
RNAcentral lists this transfer RNA (76 nucleotides) under Sulfuriferula sp. RNAcentral describes it as "tRNA-Asn". It matches the Rfam family "tRNA". From Rfam's summary of the family: Transfer RNA (tRNA) molecules are approximately 80 nucleotides in length. Their secondary structure includes four short double-helical elements and three loops (D, anti-codon, and T loops). Lineage: Bacteria; Pseudomonadati; Pseudomonadota; Betaproteobacteria; Nitrosomonadales; Sulfuricellaceae. The record is from RNAcentral.